Molecule: ribosomal RNA, 222 nt
Filed under: Triticum aestivum (bread wheat)
Lineage: Eukaryota; Viridiplantae; Streptophyta; Magnoliopsida; Poales; Poaceae
Description: partial small subunit ribosomal RNA
Source: RNAcentral
AUGAAUUGCAUCGUGUGGAACUGUCGAGGUGCGGGGAAUGCUUUGACAAUUCGGGAUCUCGUGGCUCUCUCUCGAGCCCAUUCCCCAAGUAUGAUAUUUUUAUGUGAAACUAGACAACAGAAAGAUAAGAUGUAUCGUCUUCGUAAUAGACUCGGUCUUCGUGGCUUUGAAGGAAUAAGCAGUGAGGGUAAUAGCGGUGGUCUAGCCUUAUUUUGGGAUGAA